RNAcentral lists this ribosomal RNA (477 nucleotides) under Triticum aestivum (bread wheat). RNAcentral's name for it is "partial small subunit ribosomal RNA". The record is from RNAcentral. Lineage: Eukaryota; Viridiplantae; Streptophyta; Magnoliopsida; Poales; Poaceae.
AUGGGGCUCUCCUUCGUGGUGCUGAUAUGGUGUGCCGCUGCCGGUGAGAGUAAGCAGGCUGCGAAGGCGGAGGUUGCCGCUCCUGCAGCUGCUUGGCCCUCUCUUCCUUGGCAUCGAGUUCUUCUUCGACCUUGGCCGCACGCCGAGAGAGGAAAGAAGGACACGAUGGAUGUCAACAUGAAGAGGGCAGAGGACGUGCUGAUGCACAAGCGGCUCCUGGAGCUGGCCAAGGAUUCGGUGCAGCGCCAGGCUUUCGCCGUGGGGGCCGUGCAAUUAUGUUGUCAUGGCUGCGAACGUGAAUUAACAGAGCAAACCUUAAUGAUCAGAUCAAGAGCCACUUCAUUCAUGAGGCUGCUGAGCAGAGCUGGUAGGCAUCGUGAUGGACAGGGCGAUCACAGCGGACGGGGCACCAAUGGCGGCUGCUUGCCCCCACCCCAUUGGGAGCCCUCCAUGACGGCGCACGGGAGGAAGCGAUAG